AGGAUUGUAGCUCAGUGGUAAAGCAGCUGCUUCACAUACAGAAGAUCCAGGGUUCAGUCCCUGGCAUCUCCA
Non-coding RNA from Podarcis lilfordi (Lilford's wall lizard), 72 nucleotides. NCBI's taxonomy places the organism in Eukaryota, Metazoa, Chordata, Lepidosauria, Squamata, Lacertidae. The record is from the annotation of a GenBank genome assembly.